RNAcentral lists this transfer RNA (66 nucleotides) under Eurystomus orientalis. RNAcentral's name for it is "tRNA-Cys". Lineage: Eukaryota; Metazoa; Chordata; Aves; Coraciiformes; Coraciidae. The record is from RNAcentral.
GGCCCUGUGGUGAAAUUCAUGGUGAGUUGCAAACUCAUUGAUGUACGUUGAGACGUGCCGGGGUCU